AGCCUUUGACAUCCCGGUCGCGAGCACCAGAGAUGGAGCUUUUCAGUUCGGCUGGACCGGAGACAGGUGCUGCAUGGCUGUCGUCAGCUCGUGUCGUGAGAUGUUGGGUUAAGUCCCGCAACGAGCGCAACCCUCGCCCUUAGUUGCCAUCAUUUAGUUGGGCACUCUAAGGGGACUGCCGGUGAUAAGCCGGAGGAAGGUGGGGAUGACGUCAAGUCCUCAUGGCCCUUACAGGCUGGGCUACACACGUGCUACAAUGGCGGUGACAGAGGGACGCAAAGGAGUAAUCCUUCGCAAAUCUCAAAAAGCCGUCUCAGUUCGGAUUGUGCUCUGCAACUCGAGCACAUGAAGUUGGAAUCGCUAGUAAUCGCAGAUCAGCACGCUGCGGUGAAUACGUUCCCGGGCC
RNAcentral lists this ribosomal RNA (406 nucleotides) under uncultured bacterium. Its description in RNAcentral is "bacterial SSU rRNA". It matches the Rfam family "Bacterial small subunit ribosomal RNA", at positions 976 to 1380 of the family's 1533-position model. The record is from RNAcentral.